RNAcentral lists this ribosomal RNA (497 nucleotides) under uncultured bacterium. Its description in RNAcentral is "partial 16S ribosomal RNA". It matches the Rfam family "Bacterial small subunit ribosomal RNA", at positions 28 to 507 of the family's 1533-position model. The record is from RNAcentral.
GACGAACGCUGGCGGCGUGCCUAAUACAUGCAAGUUGAGCGCUGAAGGUUGGUACUUGUACCAACUGGAUGAGCAGCGAACGGGUGAGUAACGCGUGGGGAAUCUGCCUUUGAGCGGGGGACAACAUUUGGAAACGAAUGCUAAUACCGCAUAAAAACUUUAAACACAAGUUUUAAGUUUGAAAGAUGCAAUUGCAUCACUCAAAGAUGAUCCCGCGUUGUAUUAGCUAGUUGGUGAGGUAAAGGCUCACCAAGGCGAUGAUACAUAGCCGACCUGAGAGGGUGAUCGGCCACAUUGGGACUGAGACACGGCCCAAACUCCUACGGGAGGCAGCAGGAGGGAAUCUUCGGCAAUGGACGAAAGUCUGACCGAGCAACGCCGCGUGAGGGAAGAAGGUUUUCGGAUCGUAAAACUCUGUUGGUAGAGAAGAACGUUGGUGAGAGUGGAAAGCUCAUCAAGUGACGGUAACUACCCAGAAAGGGACGGCUAACUACGUG